Molecule: small nucleolar RNA, 173 nt
Filed under: Tetrapisispora phaffii CBS 4417
Lineage: Eukaryota; Fungi; Ascomycota; Saccharomycetes; Saccharomycetales; Saccharomycetaceae
Source: RNAcentral
AUGGGAAUUAUCACCAUUACUAUGACGUUUACGAGAUUGUUGUGGUAAACGAAGCCCAUAGAUCAGAUUUAAUUAUCGACACGUUAUUACAUUUUCAGAUGUAAGAACAGAGUAUGAUGGACAAACUUUAUGUUAAUGUUCAAUUCAUUGUAUUUUGAAGCCGUGUUACAUUU